CAAAAAGUAGCUUACGCUAAAGCACUCGACUUACAAUCGAACGAUAUUAAACAAUAAUCUUUUUGA
Molecule: transfer RNA, 66 nt
Filed under: Naja kaouthia (monocled cobra)
Lineage: Eukaryota; Metazoa; Chordata; Lepidosauria; Squamata; Elapidae
Description: tRNA-Val
Rfam family: tRNA
About the family: Transfer RNA (tRNA) molecules are approximately 80 nucleotides in length.
Source: RNAcentral